GCCGAACGCUUUCUUCUUUCUUAACACAUGCAAGUCGAACGGAAAGGCCCUGCUUGCAGGGUGCUCGAGUGGCGAACGGGUGAGUAACACGUGGGUGAUCUGCCCCUUACUUUGGGAUAAGCCUGGGAAACUGGGUCUAAUACUGGAUAGGACCAUGCUGUAGGUGGUGUGGUGGAAAGAUUAGUUUCGGUAAGGGAUGAGCUCGCGGCCUAUCAGCUUGUUGGUGGGGUAAUGGCCUACCAAGGCGUCGACGGGUAGCCGGCCUGAGAGGGUGGACGGCCACAUUGGGACUGAGAUACGGCCCAGACUCCUACGGGAGGCAGCAGUGGGGAAUAUUGCACAAUGGGCGCAAGCCUGAUGCAGCGACGCCGCGUGGGGGAUGACGGCCUUCGGGUUGUAAACUCCUUUCAGCCAUGACGAAGCCCUUGUGGUGACGGUAGUGGUAGAAGAAGCGACGGCUAACUACGUG
RNAcentral lists this ribosomal RNA (469 nucleotides) under uncultured bacterium. RNAcentral's name for it is "partial 16S ribosomal RNA". It matches the Rfam family "Bacterial small subunit ribosomal RNA", at positions 28 to 507 of the family's 1533-position model. The record is from RNAcentral.